ACAGUAGCUCAGCUGGAUAGAGCAACGGCCUUCUAAGCCGUGGGUCGGGGGUUCGAGUCCCUCCUGUCG
RNAcentral lists this transfer RNA (69 nucleotides) under pig gut metagenome. It matches the Rfam family "tRNA". Rfam says of the family: Transfer RNA (tRNA) molecules are approximately 80 nucleotides in length. Their secondary structure includes four short double-helical elements and three loops (D, anti-codon, and T loops). Further hydrogen bonds mediate the characteristic L-shaped molecular structure. tRNAs have two regions of fundamental functional importance: the anti-codon, which is responsible for specific mRNA codon recognition, and the 3' end, to which the tRNAs corresponding amino acid is attached (by aminoacyl-tRNA synthetases). tRNAs cope with the degeneracy of the genetic code in two manners: having more than one tRNA (with a specific anti-codon) for a particular amino acid; and 'wobble' base-pairing, i.e. permitting non-standard base-pairing at the 3rd anti-codon position. The record is from RNAcentral.